AGCAAGCGGACCAAGGCAUACACGGCGGCUGAGGACAAGCUUCUUUGCGAGUGUUAGAGAGACAUUGGGCAAGACCCCAAGACGGGCGCCGAACAAAAGCUUUCAACUUUUUGGAUUCGUGUCCACCGUGAGUUCCAUGAGCGCAAGAAGUUUCCGCCGUACCAAAUAGUAAGCACGCGCGGGGUGGGUGUCCAUUUCGAAGCGAUGGAGGGUGAUCCAACAAGAGUGCAACAAGUUUUGUGCCACUCUUGA
This 252-nucleotide ribosomal RNA is filed under the name Triticum aestivum (bread wheat). RNAcentral's name for it is "partial small subunit ribosomal RNA". The record is from RNAcentral. Lineage: Eukaryota; Viridiplantae; Streptophyta; Magnoliopsida; Poales; Poaceae.